GGCUACGGCCAUAUCACGAUGAAUGCACCUCAUCCCGCCCGAUUUGAGUAGUUAAGCAUCGUCGAGCCACAUCAGUACUGAGGUUGGAGACAACUUGGGAACCUGUGGUGCUGUAGUCU
Molecule: ribosomal RNA, 119 nt
Filed under: Naegleria gruberi
Lineage: Eukaryota; Heterolobosea; Eutetramitea; Acrasida; Naegleriidae
Source: RNAcentral